This 63-nucleotide transfer RNA is filed under the name Eysarcoris guttigerus. RNAcentral describes it as "tRNA-His". The record is from RNAcentral. Lineage: Eukaryota; Metazoa; Arthropoda; Insecta; Hemiptera; Pentatomidae.
GUUUAAAUAGUUUAAUUAGAAUAAUAAUUUGUGAUAUUAUAGGUGAAUUUAAUUCUUUAAGCC